RNAcentral lists this long non-coding RNA (493 nucleotides) under Trifolium pratense (red clover). RNAcentral describes it as "long non-coding RNA (TPRA_LNC012271)". Lineage: Eukaryota; Viridiplantae; Streptophyta; Magnoliopsida; Fabales; Fabaceae. The record is from RNAcentral.
AUUCCUUAUCUUUGGCGACGAUCCAAUGCUUGCAGUGGCUCAUGGUCGCGGUGUAUAUUGUGAUGGUAAAGAUUAUUACACUUUUUGAUUCAACCUUUUUCUUCUAUAUAAUUUGUACCUUCUCAUUUUCCUCUUCAAUUCAUUUCUUGCUGCAAAAUUAUGAUUACUAGAUAUCUUGUGUUGAUUGUGACCAUAAGCCUCUACAAAUGCUGAAAGUUUUGUUAUUGCUUUCAGGUUGGUGUGAACUUUUCAAUAAAAAGUUCAAUUUCGCAUCUACAAAUGCUGAAAGUUUUGUUAUUGCUUUCAGGUGCAGUGUAUUGUGGAAAUAUGGACAGCGGAAGUGUAUGUCCCGUUUACCCUUCUUAUACGCAUAGUAUUAUGAGUAAGGAUGGGUGCACAGUUUCAGAAGAGUGCAUUAAAGACGAUGAUAGUGAGGAUGAUUAUGCGCAUCCAGACGCCUGCACGUGAAUAACUAUGAGAAUCAUGCUUUAUU